AAAUAUACACUUCCAAAUAUGUAUUAACUUAAAGCCUUUUUUAUCUACGCAUGUAACCAACCUCCUUACUAACAAACUUUAGAAUUUUAAAAAGAAGUAAACAUAUUCAUUGUCACAUUGUCAACAGCUACCACGACGAUCGAUUGUGAACAUGAGGAUCCAAAAAAGCCAUCAGCCAUGUUAAAAUACAAUGUAGCAUCUUGAUGAAAUUAUUAUAUAAUUUUGGUUCUAAGAGGUCAUGGCAAUAUUUUCUAGGGCUGGACGGUAUAUGGCUAAAGUGAUGGGGUUCGGACGCAGUAUCUUCAAGCAAACGGUGCGAUGUAGUGGUCUCCAGACUGUCAUGGGCAACCAGCCUGGUCACACGAAUAUGAGACAUCAAGAGUCCAGUAAGCGCCGUGCCAUCGCCUUACACUAUGCUCAGAAAGAGUCCUCGUUGAACAACUUCUGGAAGAGACCACGUCGUGAUACAACAUAAAAUUAAUGAAAUAAUUUCAUCGAAAUCGCAAAACUACCGCAACAUGAGCGUUACAUAAUUAUAGUAGAAUAAUAACUGUAACAUAUUU
Molecule: long non-coding RNA, 563 nt
Organism: Spodoptera frugiperda (fall armyworm)
Lineage: Eukaryota; Metazoa; Arthropoda; Insecta; Lepidoptera; Noctuidae
Exons: 2
Source: RefSeq, a predicted model, not a curated record